This is a non-coding RNA of Cricetulus griseus (Chinese hamster), 6948 nucleotides long. NCBI's taxonomy places the organism in Eukaryota, Metazoa, Chordata, Mammalia, Rodentia, Cricetidae. The record is from RefSeq and is a predicted model, not a curated record.
GGGGCGCGGAGCUGGCGAGGAGGACGGGCGGGCGGUGCUUCCUUGGCUGCUCCGCUUGCACUCGGCGGAGCCAGCCGAGCCCAGGUCUUCCACUUCCGCCCCUCCACCGGCCGCUGGAAGUACCGGAGCCUGAGAAGUCGGCGGCCGUCCCGCAGCGGCACGUCCUCCUCCCUUCUUCGCCAUCCCUCUGAGUCAAGCCGGCCGCGCCGCCCCAGGCUUUGCUCUGCCGAGCCCGCAGCCCACGCCGCGGCCGACAUGAGCUUCUUGUUUGGUAGUCGAUCUUCUAAAACUUUUAAGCCAAAGAAGAACAUCCCAGAGGGUUCUCACCAGUAUGAACUCUUAAAACAUGCAGAAGCCACACUUGGCAGUGGCAACCUUCGGAUGGCCGUCAUGCUUCCUGAGGGAGAGGAUCUAAAUGAGUGGGUUGCAGUUAACACUGUGGAUUUUUUCAAUCAAAUCAAUAUGCUUUAUGGAACCAUCACAGACUUCUGUACAGAGGAGAGUUGUCCGGUGAUGUCAGCUGGACCAAAAUAUGAGUAUCACUGGGCAGAUGGAACAAACAUAAAAAAGCCUAUCAAGUGCUCUGCACCAAAGUAUAUUGAUUACCUGAUGACCUGGGUUCAAGACCAGCUGGAUGAUGAAACAUUAUUCCCAUCAAAAAUUGAGGGACCUUAUCUCUCUACUAGGUGUUCCAUUCCCAAAGAAUUUCAUGUCUGUGGCAAAAACAAUUCUCAAACGGCUCUUUAGAGUUUAUGCUCACAUUUAUCACCAACAUUUUGAUCCUGUGAUCCAGCUUCAGGAGGAAGCACAUCUCAAUACAUCUUUCAAGCACUUUAUUUUUUUUGUUCAGGAGUUCAACCUUAUUGACAGAAGAGAACUUGCACCACUCCAAGAACUAAUUGAGAAACUCACCUCAAAGGACAGAUAAAAGGAUAAAAAGCUGCAAAUUCUUCCUCCACUGGAGCUGUGUGGGUGUAUUUGGGCUUUUGUUAUAUUUUGUUUUUAUCUGGAUUAUUUGUCUUUGGUUUGGGGGCUUGCUUGGGUUCCCUUUUCUCUUUUGAAUAUAUAAAAUCAUAUUUUGUUGCUAGAGAAAGCCAAGAACCAUUCUCUACAUUUGAAAAGGGCAAAUUUUGUCUUAGUGGUAUAUAGUAUUUUCUUUUCUUUUUAAUAUAUUUUUUUUUAUUAACCUGGUUUUGGUUACUUGAGGACUUUUUAUGAUAUUGUAUGCUGGAAACAACUAACUGACUGAAAUGCAGAUGGUUUGCAUUCUGUGUUGUGUAAAUUGUGGCCCACUUUGAAGUCCCUAAAAAAGACUAAUGUGUUCUUAAGUGCCUUGAUAGGCUCACUUCUGAGGUGCAAAGCACAGGUAUAGACUGAGCAGAGAUUGAAACAAUAUUAGAAUUUCUAUCUAGGGCACUUACUUGUGCAUGUUGUAAAGUAAUCUGUUAUAAAAGCCAUAGUUUACUCAAGUUGAUGAUGUCCAGCUUUUACUACAUUGAAAAAACAUAAUUUGUAAAGUUGUGCAUGUAGAACAUAAAUGUAAAACAACAAAAAUUAUUUCUUAAUUAUUUUUGACAUAAUUUGUAAAGGUGUGCAUGUAGAACAUAAGUGUAAAACAACAAAAUUCUUAAUUAUUUUUGAUAUUGACUGAUAUAUAUUCUGUUCAACAGACAUUUAAAGUUCUACAAGCAGGUCUUUUUCCAUCUCUUAAUAUCUGUGAUAUUGAAAUUUGAGGAUGUUGAAAUGUAAUAACUAUUGCAUUUCAACUUCUUUUUACAUGUUAAGUGCACUGUAAGUGUAAAACUUCAGGUUAUAUAUAGACUUGCCAUCUUCAGAAAGAAUGCUGAACUGUGAGGUUUCCUAGCAAUUGCCAAAUGAGCCAUAAGUGCAGAAUCUCCUUGUACUUCAAAGAGGGAGGAAAAAUAAGAAUGGUUGGUGGCAGGCAUUAGUUUGGGAAAUCAAAAGAGAAAGAUUAAGUAUGGGGAGUCAAAUUCUAGAAAGUCCUGUUUUAAAACCCUGGGAUAGAAUAGUGUUUAUUACUUACAGAGUCUUGAAGACUUCCUUUUAGAAAUCCGCUUCCAUGAGAAGUUAAAAAAAUAAAUACUUAGUUUUAGGUACAGACAUUAAACAUGGAAUUUAAUGACUAUUUGGGGGAAAUCAAUCACUUUUUAGCAUUUCCAUUCAGUGAAUGGAGCUGGUAUUUGCCUGUCAUUUUAAAUGAUACACUACCUUGAUUAUUGGUGCAGUAUGAAGCAUCCUGACUUCUUAUUUUUCCACUGUGAAAUCUCUUUUCUUUGUGGUGAUAUCAAGUAAUGAAAAUGCUAGCUCAGUAGUUAAUAACUUCUAAAUUUUAGUUGACAUGACAUUCUGUUGAAUUGUCAUUAUUAAUUACAAAUUCAGGAAUUUGGUUUUUAGAAUAAAUGUUGAACUCUCCCCCCACUUCAGUUUUGUUCUUGAAAAAUACUCUUUUCAAACUCUGAGGUUUUUUGUUUGUUUGUUUGCUUUUUUGUUUGUUUUUGAGCAGACAUUGAGUUUUAAUUUUUGUCAAUUUUUAUAAAUCUGUUUUCCUCAAUUUUCUGUCUGUCUCUUCUUUUCUCUCUGUAGUUAGAGACACAUGCCUUUCCCCUAGUAAAGUAGAAAUGCUUGCUCUGAAUUUGUAUGCAAAUACAUUGUGGAGGAAACUAAAAUUAAGUAAAUUUGGUUUUGCUAUUAACAAAUGGACAGUAAUAGAAUUGAAUGCCCUUGCAACUAUUAUCACUUGGAACUGCCUUUUUCUCCAUUUCAUUUCUCUAAUGGUGAUUGCUCACCAUGUACCAAUAAUAAGGAACAAAAGAACUUGGAAGAGGUAGAUAAUACUGGGCAUUUAUUAGUAGUGCUUAUUUAUGAACAGACAGGUAGCUAUUUUCUCAAAAUAAUUUUUUAGUAUCUAAAUAGAUAGUAUCAGGCAUUAUGAGUUGCUUCAGAAUUCUGAUGUGAGUCCUCUCUGUACAGGAAAUGAAGCCCAUAAUUACUCACGGAAACAGUCUUCCAUAGUAUAUAUACUUCCUAUUGCCCUAGUAACAGGGACUUCCAUAGCAGCACCAUGUAGAAGGAAGAGUGAGAGGUUGUUUCUGGUCCUUAAGCCUUACAUACAGUACGCUGUAAAAAUGGAAAAUUAGUCCUAGAAAUGAGUGCUUGGUAGUAGGACUUACUUUCCCACUACAUUAGGUAGGAGUUAUUUUCACUGUGCAAAUCUCAGGUGCCAUGGCAAAUAAGGAAAUUUGUGUGUGUGUGUGUGUGUGUGUGUGUGUGUGUGUGUGUGUGUGUGUGUGUUGAGAAAGAAUAGUACUCUUGGGGAAAGGCCUGGCAAGUGUACAUGGUGGUACAUGGCUAUAAGUAAGGAAAUACUAGAACCCAAGAGAAAGUUUAAUAAAAACUUGCUUUGAGAGUACAAUGCCCUUUUAUAAAAUAAGAAAGUUUAUUUUGCAGGAGAGCUUGCUUAUAAAUGUUUCUGAGAUUCUUUUCAGAUCUGUUAAUUUAUAAAUCACUGAUUAUCUCCCUUUUUCUUUCUUUUCUUUUUUUGAGACUGGGUCUCUCUAUGUAGCCGUGGCUAGCCUGGAGUUCACUAUGUAGACCAGGUUGGUCUCAAACUCUCAGAGAUCUCUUGCCUAUGUACCCUAUAUGCUGAGAUUAAAGGUGUGCACCACCACACCUGGCUACCCCAUCUUUUAUACAGUUAUACAAGUUCAAGUUGGUUUUUUCAUAAGCUCAUCCCAUACAAUUGAAUGUAGUAAAUUAUCAUUAUGUUAUUACAGUGCUUUGGUUACAUGUGGAUACGAUGAUGCAAGUUUUAGGAAAGAUUUAGUUACCAGAAUAGUGGGGAUGAAGAGAAACUGACUGAGGGAAAUGUUUGUUGUUAACAGUAGGUGGUGCUGCUGGCGUUGUUCACUUGCUGACUUGGUUCUUCCACUUCCCACAAAAGCCAUGCCUUAGAUUGCCUGCCCCCCAGACAGUGAGCGUGCCUGUGCGUGUGCAUGGGUGUGUGUUGGUGGGUGGCUUUGGAGCUCUGUGUACCUGAAAAUGAAAGAGUUUUAGGUUGUUGCCACUUUUAACUCUCUUAAUCAUUGUGAAUUCUAAAUGGUCAACAUAAAAUGUAUUAGGUAGCAAAGAAUAUUUAAUGUGUAUUUCUGACUGAGCUACUACCUGGAUUAUCAGGAUCGAUGAAGCACUACAAUCUCUUCCCAGAAAAUAGAAAUAUGGUAUUUAUAUUUUGUAUAUAUACUCACUAGGUUCCAUUUUAUGUAUUGAGCAUUUUCCUUGCUAUGGGAAAAAUAGCAAAACAACAGAUUUCUUUUAUAGCUUUGUCUACACCCUCUCUGAGAGAGGUUUUGAUAACCACUGAAAUGGCAGAUUAUAUAAGAUACAAAUACUAACUUGUGGGAUUUUCUUUUAAAAUGAAUAUGUUGUACCUUAAUGUCCAAAUGAGGUUGACUUUCAAAGCAGUUCUCUUUGGGCCACUGUUUAUUUCAAUUAUGUUGCAAAGUAUGUUUCUAGAACUUUGUAAUGUAUCAUAGGUGCUUUAAGAAUUGGCUUAUGACUAUGUAAGAAAAAGCAGUUUUAUCUUUUCAGUUGCACAAAAACAAUAUUCAGAGCUUAAUAGAACCCACAUUAAUUACUAAAUCAAGUUCACUAACUUGGCUUUUCCCUGAGAACCAAGCCUGUGUGGUAAUCACGAGUAUCUUUUAGGCUCUAAAUCUUUGAAGAAGACUGCUAUAGACAUUGACUGCGUCACAGAAUAGAAUACUUUACCGAUGUCACAAUUGGAAAUAGGAACCAUCAUUUACAUGUGAAAACAUUUUUAAAACAUUUUUUAAAAUUCAGUUUAAUUACUUUGUAUUUAAACUGAAUUUUAAACUUAAGGUCUUUCUCUAGAACUUGCUCUGUUUUUUCCCCCCUCUCUUUUCCUUAAAACUUUUGAAUUGUGUAGGAUAGUUUUGAUUGAGAGAAUACUAUGAAAAAGUAGAUGCAGUAUUUAAAAUAGCAGUUCAAAGAAACAAACUCUUUACCUCUGUUGUAUUCUGUUUUAUUUUAAAUAGGUUUUUCUUUUAAUCUGACUUUAAUUAAAGAGUAGAGGUUGAUGUACAGGAAAAAUGUGAUAAAAUUUUAUUAUUAUGCAAAGUUUUAACCUACCUAUCAUGAAUACAUUUAAAAAGAUAUAAGUAUUCAGCACAUAUCGUUCAUAACAUUAAAUUCUGAUUGUUUUUUGAAAAUAUACUAAAUUGAAAGUUUAUGUGUAAUUUGGAAUGUGAUUGCAUAGUAGGAAAACAUCUUAUUUUGAAAACUUACGUGACAUAUUAAAGAAUACACCACUUAUAAACUCAGCCCAGUCUUGCCCCUAAUGGACUUUAAGCAUUAGGGUUUUGCCAUAACAGAUAUUUACCAUAGGAGCCUCUGUUACCAGCAUGAUUAUAUGUGAGUAAUAAAUAGAGGUCUGUUUCAAGAUUUAAUAGGAAAGUUUAACAAACAACAGACAUGCAACAGGAUUCUGAAUUCAAAUGGUUUGAAUUUUUAAGGCUUUCCUCAGAAGUUCAUCUAUGAGAAUUCAUUUUGAAGGUAUGAGACUGCCAUCCUCUCUGUCUACCACUGAUUUGUAUUCUGACAAAAGAGACGAAACUUCAAAAUAAAAUAUUGGGCCCUCAGUUUUAUAAGUGUGUGGCGAAAGUUCCUUGUGCAGGUCCCCUCCCUCCUUUCCUCUCUCUUGCAUAUAGUGCUACACAGUCUCAAACAUGAAGUGAAAACACUGGCCUUUACAGAUCUGUGUUUUCCCACUCCCAUCUGCCACAUACACCUGCUCACAUGCACUCAAGGCUGAUGUUACAGUUCAUCAUUGUUAGUAAUUCUGAAGUGUUGGCGACAUAUAGGUUUUCUUUUGUUUGCUUGGCAGGUUUUUUUUUUUAUGUCAUCAAAGCUGCAGUUAUUGGUGAUAUAAAGUGGCAAUUUUCUAAUUUCUUUCAUAAUUAUUCUUUUGUUUUGUUUUGUUUUUCGAGACAGAGUUUCUCUGUGUGGCUUUGGAGCCUAUCCUGGCACUCACUCUGGAGACCAGGCUGGCCUUGAACUGCCCGCCUCUGCCUCCCGAGUGCUGGGGUUAAAGGCAUGUGCCACCAAUGCCCGGCUCCAUAAUUAUUCUUAUAGGUGGAUAUUUCUUGUUUUGCACAAAUUUGCAUUUUUGUUUUUGGAAAUAGUUGGAUAGGUUGUCAAUUACAUUAGUGCAUUGUCAUUUCAGAACACCUUUUCCCCUUAAAUUGUUUUGCAGAAAUAACUAUUUUUAGGGAAAAUAGUUUUACAGCUACUAAAUUUUGUUAUUUUUGUAUAUGCAUAUCCAGGGUGGUGAAAUCACUAAUAUUUUAGGGAAAACCUUUGUUCUAUUUGACCUUUUUCCUAUACACUUAAGGUAUUAUUUAAAAUUGGUAGAAAUAGUGUCAUGAAAAUAGAAAAUAUGGGGAACAUUUAAAAUCAGAAUAGAAAUUAUUUCUGAUGACAAAAAUCAGAAAUACUGUCAGUAACAAUUGAUGGAGGCGGAAGGGCAGCAUUCGAAUUGUGCACUUGCUUAAGAUACGCACCGAGAUGAGCGUCUGUUCUCAUGCGGAACAGGUUCUCUAGUAAGGUAGUUAGAUGGGAAAAAAAUGGUCUAAAAUAUGAACUGCAAAGUGGACGCCAUAUUGUAAAUUGUACUAAGAUUAUGCAAAUUGUAGUUAUUGAUCAAAGUUUAAUUGCUUCAUUAUUGUUAUUUUAAAGGAAAUACUGAAUGAUAGAAAACCUGUAAUAUGUUUUAUUUGAGAGAUGUAAAUAAUGUACACAGUCUUCUAUGUGGUGGAAUGGGAGGUAUUUAAAUUCUAGGUUCUUUUUUUUAAAGGAAGAAAAUGUCUAUAAGAAAAAAAACCUUAAUAAAUAGUUAUGUUUGGCCAUGAA